GGGGCUGCAACUCAGUGGUAGAGCACCUGCCUUGCAGGUGUAAGGCCCUGGGUUCAAUCCUCAGCACCCCA
This 71-nucleotide transfer RNA is filed under the name Marmota monax (woodchuck). RNAcentral describes it as "tRNA.Undet". Lineage: Eukaryota; Metazoa; Chordata; Mammalia; Rodentia; Sciuridae. The record is from RNAcentral.